Molecule: transfer RNA, 69 nt
Filed under: Brachystomella parvula
Lineage: Eukaryota; Metazoa; Arthropoda; Collembola; Poduromorpha; Brachystomellidae
Description: tRNA-Lys
Source: RNAcentral
CAUUAAAUGGCUGAAAGUAAGCUUUGGUCUCUUAAACCAACAAUAAUAUAUUAACUCAUAUUUUUAAUG